This 490-nucleotide long non-coding RNA is filed under the name Zea mays. RNAcentral describes it as "long non-coding RNA (ZMAY_LNC000490)". The record is from RNAcentral. Lineage: Eukaryota; Viridiplantae; Streptophyta; Magnoliopsida; Poales; Poaceae.
UCAAGCCAAGCCAGACAUGACUCGCUGCUGUUGAAGAGGUUGAAACCGUAAGUCUUGUUCAACGGCAAACGGUCAUCAUCAAGAUAAAAUGAUGGCAAGGUUGGGCCUAUUGUCUUUGCAUGCCAUGUUAGGGCCAUAUAAUCUGCCUCAUGCUCAAAUAAUUAACAUUGCAAAUGCGUCAAAAAGAAAAGCUUAUGAUGGUGAAGUGGAAUCAAAUUAUCACAACAGACACACCAACCAUAUAUUAUUUAGUGAAUAAACGUGAUUGUGGACGAACGAUGACGAUGUGUAUGCAACACCGAAGUUCAUUUGGGCAAAACAACAAACAGGUGCCGGCCGUGGUAACGGUGACCUCACCUUGGGUUCGAUCUCGUGGAAUGAGUUGACGAGCACGUCGUCGGCGUCCUCCAGCCCCUCAAAUUGCCGCAGUGAUGCCCGAAGGAACACAGGGCACCAGUCUGGCUUUGCUGCGAACGGCGGAACGUCGUCG